AAGGAGGGCUGUAUGGGAGUCCUUCCUCUGUGACCGUGGGGGAGGCAGAUCUCUAAGACCAAAUGUUACAGAGAAGGUGCCAAUUGGCACUGGCUGUGUUUUCUUAUCUGGAAAUUCCCCACAUGAAUGAAAGCAUGGCCCCAAUUCCUAUUCCUAUCACUGUGGGCCAGGCCCCAUGCUAGAACUUCUCUCCUGACGGGGACAUGUGUUUGCGCAUGCGUGUGCACAAAACCAUUAUGAGAUAACUGGGCCGAGACACACUAGCAGGAGGGCCGUGAAGAAAGGCAAGAGUGUAGAAAGACAGGCUUAAAGGAAACUAGGCAGAAGUGAGGAGAGAUCCCUGCAAAAGCGACAGGCUGUUCAAAAUCAUGGAAGAAGAAAAUGGAGAAGAUCAACGGCUAGUUUGGCUGGGCUUUUGUAAGUGCCAAACAGAAGAUUUUCUAGUGGAUGCUAAAGGCAAUAAGAAGCCACUAAAAUGUACUGCAACAGGAGAAUGGGAGGGUCUGUGUUUUAAGAAAAGUAUUCUAGUCGUAUGGAGGAUGGAUUAGAAUGAGGAAAGUCAAGCAAGAGUGUUCUUCACAUAGCAAAUGUUUAAAAAAAAAUCUUUGCUGAAAGACCAAGAAAUUGGUUGGGCAAGGUCUCACAGGACAUGAGAAAGGAAAGAAGAAAGGACCUUCAUGAAUCUCCUGAAAUCUCUCCAUGGACUCCAGAUUAAGAAUCCCUGAUACACAGAAAUGAUACAGCAUGGAAACCUAUGAAACUAGCCUGAGGCAGUGAAUAUAUACAGGGAAUAAUUAUGACAUAUAAACACUUC
This is a non-coding RNA of Monodelphis domestica (gray short-tailed opossum), 814 nucleotides long. The record is from RefSeq and is a predicted model, not a curated record. NCBI's taxonomy places the organism in Eukaryota, Metazoa, Chordata, Mammalia, Didelphimorphia, Didelphidae.